CGCGUAGGCGGCCAGAUCAGUCGGGUGUGAAAGCCCGGGGCUCAACCCCGGAACGGCACCCGAGACGGUUUGGCUGGAGACCGGGAGAGGAGGGUGGAAUAGCCAGUGUAGAGGUGAAAUUCGUAGAUAUUGGCUGGAACACCGGUGGCGAAAGCGGCUCUCUGGCCCGGUUCUGACGCUGAGGCGCGAAAGCGUGGGGAGCAAACA
RNAcentral lists this ribosomal RNA (207 nucleotides) under uncultured bacterium. RNAcentral describes it as "partial 16S ribosomal RNA". It matches the Rfam family "Bacterial small subunit ribosomal RNA", at positions 568 to 774 of the family's 1533-position model. The record is from RNAcentral.